Molecule: small nuclear RNA, 203 nt
Filed under: Xenopus laevis (African clawed frog)
Lineage: Eukaryota; Metazoa; Chordata; Amphibia; Anura; Pipidae
Description: U2 spliceosomal RNA
Rfam family: U2 spliceosomal RNA
About the family: U2 is a small nuclear RNA (snRNA) component of the spliceosome (involved in pre-mRNA splicing). Complementary binding between U2 snRNA (in an area lying towards the 5' end but 3' to hairpin I) and the branchpoint sequence (BPS) of the intron results the bulging out of an unpaired adenosine, on the BPS, which initiates a nucleophilic attack at the intronic 5' splice site, thus starting the first of two transesterification reactions that mediate splicing.
Source: Rfam by way of RNAcentral
UUGUCUUUUUUUUUUAAAUUGUUUUAAUAAAAAAAUGAAAAAAAAAAAAAUCUGUUCUUAUCAGUUUACUAUCCGAUACGUCCCCUAUCUGGGGACUAUAUAUUAAAUGGAUUUUUGGAACAGGGAGAUGGAAGAAGAGCUUGCUCUGUCCACUCCACACAUCGACCUGGUAUUGCAGUACCUCCAGGACCGGUGCACUUCUC